CCCAUUGAUUGACGGUGCUUGCAUCUGAUUGAUUUUGGUUGCCAACGAGUGGCGGACGGGUGAGUAACACGUAGGUAACCUGCCCAGAAGUGGGGGACAACAUUUGGAAACAGAUGCUAAUACCGCAUAACAGCGUUGUUCGCAUGAACAACGCUUAAAAGAUGGCUUCUCGCUAUCACUUCUGGAUGGACCUGCGGUGCAUUAGCUUGUUGGUGGGGUAACGGCCUACCAAGGCGAUGAUGCAUAGCCGAGUUGAGAGACUGAUCGGCCACAAUGGGACUGAGACACGGCCCAUACUCCUACGGGAGGCAGCAGUAGGGAAUCUUCCACAAUGGGCGCAAGCCUGAUGGAGCAACACCGCGUGAGUGAAGAAGGGUUUCGGCUCGUAAAGCUCUGUUGUUAAAGAAGAACACGUAUGAGAGUAACUGUUCAUACGUUGACGGUAUUUAACCAGAAAGUCACGGCUAACUACGUGCCAGCAGCCGCGGUAAUACGUAGGUGGCAAGCGUUAUCCGGAUUUAUUGGGCGUAAAGAGAGUGCAGGCGGUUUUCUAAGUCUGAUGUGAAAGCCUUCGGCUUAACCGGAGAAGUGCAUCGGAAACUGGAUAACUUGAGUGCAGAAGAGGGUAGUGGAACUCCAUGUGUAGCGGUGGAAUGCGUAGAUAUAUGGAAGAACACCAGUGGCGAAGGCGGCUACCUGGUCUGCAACUGACGCUGAGACUCGAAAGCAUGGGUAGCGAACAGGAUUAGAUACCCUGGUAGUCCAUGCC
Molecule: ribosomal RNA, 769 nt
Filed under: uncultured bacterium
Lineage: Bacteria
Description: bacterial SSU rRNA
Rfam family: Bacterial small subunit ribosomal RNA
Source: RNAcentral